GAGGUCACAGUCAAAGGAGCUCAGGAUGGAGCAGCUGAUCGAGAGGACAGUGAGAGACAAGGCAGUGUUGGAUCAGAGGCAGUUGGUGUGUGUCCUGGGCCAUGAAGAGGAAGAAUUGUGAAGAGCUUUGUCUCUUUUUGGAGUGUGGAG
This is a long non-coding RNA of Toxotes jaculatrix (banded archerfish), 150 nucleotides long. RefSeq lists it as uncharacterized. The transcript is spliced from 3 exons. The record is from RefSeq and is a predicted model, not a curated record. NCBI's taxonomy places the organism in Eukaryota, Metazoa, Chordata, Actinopteri, Toxotidae.